RNAcentral lists this ribosomal RNA (225 nucleotides) under Triticum aestivum (bread wheat). RNAcentral's name for it is "partial small subunit ribosomal RNA". Lineage: Eukaryota; Viridiplantae; Streptophyta; Magnoliopsida; Poales; Poaceae. The record is from RNAcentral.
AUGACAAAGUUAAUUGGGAUUUCCUGCUGGAAUGCCAUAAACUUCGGGGUUUUGACCAGAAAUGGUGCGGCUGGGUCGAGCAGAUUCUCCACAAUGGCACGGUUAGUAUUAAACUUAACAACUGUGUGGGGCCGUACUUCCAAAGUGCUAAGGGAGUGCGGCAGGGUGAUCCCACUCACCUUUCCUCUUCAAUCUUGCUGUGGAGUGCCUAACCAAAAUGAUUAA